UGUGAAUACAAGAAUGCCUGACUCACCAAAUGAUUUCCUAGAAUAGUUAGCUGGGUGGAGACUCACCAAGUUAAUAACUAAACCCAACCCUCAAGUCCAUUGGCAAAGGACAUAUUUGAGCUUAAUGACUCUGUAUACACCCAGAAAGAUAAAGGAGGCUUUGAGAUCCUGCUUGGUAGACUGGGAAGAAGAAAAUGACUCAUUAGGUACCUGGAACACUGAAUGGCCUGCACUGGAAAUAUUUUGAAAGGACAGUGGAAAAGCUGCUGGAAAAAAAUGCGAAAACAAUUUUUUGACUUGAGUUCAUAUUUUUCAUUCAAUGUCUGCGGGGCCCUCAAUGUAACUUUUUUUUUUUUUUGAGAGGGGUCAUCCUCCAAUCAUUAACUACUUCUAAUCUUCACUGCUACACAGAGUUUCCAAUAUUUAGCAACAGAUGGCUUUGCUUUUACCUUAUAGAUGAGGCCAAAGCACCAGGAAUAACUAACCUCAAAUUUGUAACCGUUCUGCUUUUUGCCACCCAACAUACCCUGCAGUGGCUCUCAAACCUGUACCUGAGGAAAGUGGUCCACUCCCACCAGUGAGAAGACUCACAGGGCAGCAGGGAUUCUUAGCUAGAGGGCAUAGCCAUUGAAAGAGAUGAAAACGGAAUCUCCUGGAGUGUGUGUGAUUUCAAAAAGCUCCCCAGCAUUAUUCACAGUAGCCAGGAUAUGAAAACAACCUAGGUGUCUGUCAGCAGAUGAAUGGAUAAAGAAACUGUGGUAUACGUUUAUACAAUAGAAUAUUAUUCAGCCUUAAAAAAGGAGGAG
This 806-nucleotide long non-coding RNA is filed under the name Homo sapiens (human). RNAcentral describes it as "HSALNT0334992". Lineage: Eukaryota; Metazoa; Chordata; Mammalia; Primates; Hominidae. The record is from RNAcentral.